GAAGAGGAUAAUGGACUGUGAAG
Molecule: non-coding RNA, 23 nt
Filed under: Cricetulus griseus (Chinese hamster)
Lineage: Eukaryota; Metazoa; Chordata; Mammalia; Rodentia; Cricetidae
Source: RNAcentral